UUUCUGACAAUUUUUCCUUUUUUACUAGAUGAGAACGCUGAGCCGAAGAGCCAGUACUCUGAACUCAACAGCAGAUUCCAUGAGUUAGAAAUUGAAUAUCGCAGUCUAGAAAACGAACGUGAAGAGUUGGCUUUCACAUACAAAGAAAUUCAGAGGCUGCUCGCAAAGCCGAAGAACAUCGCGUUCAACGCAUGUAAUUGCAUCAGCUAAGAUGAACCAAGCCAUCUCGAUAUGGAACACCGACUUACCGAUAAGGAGGAAGAGCUCGAGUCUAUCAAGAAGCAAAUGUCGGCAAAUGUCUAUAUCGAAAUCGACCAGUUGAACUCUCGUCUUGUCCAUGCGGAAACCAAGUUGAAAACCGAAAUUCAGCGCAUCCGGAAGAAGAUGAUGAUCACAAUCACCGAGUUGGAAAUGACAUCCGACGUUGCCAACAAAAACAACAUAUCGAGCAAUCCCUGCAAAUUGUCGUAAAUUUUUAGGCAGCCAUCCAA
Long non-coding RNA from Daphnia pulicaria, 491 nucleotides. RefSeq lists it as uncharacterized. The record is from RefSeq and is a predicted model, not a curated record. The transcript has 3 exons. Lineage: Eukaryota; Metazoa; Arthropoda; Branchiopoda; Diplostraca; Daphniidae.